AUUUCGCUACGCGUUUCAUUCUUCACCAAACACUCCAACUCUAUAGCUCUCAGUUUAUAUACAAUCUGCAAAUAACCACUACCGAAAGAGAAAGAAAAAGAAAAAGGUUGAUAAGGUUCCACCAUAGAAAGAAAGAUGGAGAUAGUUACACCUAAAGCCUCAGACUCAAAGAAGAUAGCAACAAAAGCUGAGGAUGAGAAGAAGACAAAGAAAGAUGAUGUGAUGACCAGUAAUGGUCGAAAGUUCACUAUUAUUAAAGGGCAUCUCAAAAUCAUUGAGGGUUUAAGACAAGGUAAGAUUAAAGACGAUCAACCUCCUAAGAGCCCGAGAUCUUCAUCAUCAUCAUCAUAUGUGAUGGAGAUCAAGAUGGGAAAUUACAAAAACUCGAUUCAAAGAUCAGAAAAUACUAAAAGGAUGGAAACUCAACACAAGGGUAAGAAGGUGAUGAACGUGAAACAAAACACAGAAGAGAGCAACGUUCAAAAGAUGAAGAAAGUAUGGGAUUGCGAAAGCACACUUUAUGACUCAUUCGAGCUCAACUCCUUCAAUCGUCAACUCGACAACGCAAUAUCUUCUUCCGCUAGAUCCAUGUCAAUGCCUCACCUUCCUCCUCCACCGUCAGAAACCACGUCUUCGCCUUCGACAAAGAAGCAGCCAUCAAACAAGAUCUCACGCUCUUUAAAGAAACUCGUAAAGUCAAUCUUCAGACAGAAACAGUCAAACACUCCCUUUAAGGCAUGUCACGGCGUAGAUAUGGACAAAUACUACGUCGUUUUUGACAACACAGGAUCCCUCACGACGAUUCCCGAGUCAAGAGAGUCAUUAGAACUGGGUCGCUCAGAGAUCAACUCGCUUGAUAGAAAAACCGUGUCAGAGCGAUUCCCACCGAGUCGACUCGCUGAUAUAAACAAGAAGACUGCCGUAAGAGUUCUUCUCCUCCAUGCUAACGGCUAAUAAAACCAUUUGAUGCGUUAUUACUUCGACAGCGAAAAUAAGGAUAUUGUGGUUGCUCUCUGUUUCUUCUAUCAAACGCCAUCAUUAGUGAAAUUUCGCUAUAGCCACGGAUUAGUCAUGGAUAAAUCGCAGCUAAAAUUACCUUUUUUGCCACGAAACAAACACGAGUGGUUACAUUUAUGUGUGUUUUGUGUUAGCAUAGGAAUAUGGAAAGUUGGUUUAGCUCCUGACCUUGAAGGAAGGCUUCAUGUAAAGAAGGCCCCCUCGCUUUCUGGUCAUCAAGGCGAGGUAUCCAAUUCCAAUUUUUUUUUUUACUUUUCAUCUCUCUUUUCGGUGUUUGUUGGAUUUGAUGAGUAUGAAACUUUAAGGUCUAACUUUUUAUCUUCAACCCUACCUUUUUAUUUAUUUCAUUUGUGUAAAACUCAACUUAAUUACACGGUAUUGAUGUCUCCUGGUCAGUUUGGCAGAUGGAAUGGAACAUGAGUGGGCUGACUUUAUCCUAGCACCGGAAGCGAUGGGGUGGCCACAUACUCAUUUUGAGUUUAGUUCUAUGAUUCAUACUCCCUCUAAACAGUGAUGUUUUGGCUCGAUGCCUAAGAUCCACACUUUUACAAAAACAGAAUCAUUAAAAAUAUAAAUAAAAUAUAAUUCAACCAAUUAUCAAAAGAACUAUGAAAACAUCAUUAGUUAUACAAUCUUUAAUAAAAUAAAAACUAAUAUAAAAAUAUCAAAACAUCAUGUAUUUUGAAACAUCAAAAAAUCUUCAAAAUAUCAUCUAUUUUGGAACGGAAUGAAUAUCUUUCAAAAAUAUCUCUGUAAUCUAUAGACUGUCACUGUACACUGUAGCUAAUCACACCUUACAAUAGUUUGAUUUUAUUUUGGUUUGAGGCAUUUAGGCUAAGAUAGACGAUUGAACCAACUCUAACCUGGAUUAGUCAUGGUGAAUUUGGUCAGAACACCUAGUAC
This is an RNA transcript of Raphanus sativus (radish), 1920 nucleotides long. RefSeq lists it as uncharacterized. The transcript is spliced from 4 exons. The record is from RefSeq and is a predicted model, not a curated record. Lineage: Eukaryota; Viridiplantae; Streptophyta; Magnoliopsida; Brassicales; Brassicaceae.